Long non-coding RNA from Pseudophryne corroboree (corroboree frog), 384 nucleotides. RefSeq lists it as uncharacterized. NCBI's taxonomy places the organism in Eukaryota, Metazoa, Chordata, Amphibia, Anura, Myobatrachidae. The transcript has 3 exons. The record is from RefSeq and is a predicted model, not a curated record.
UUAGAAUGUUAAAGCCAUGAUUAUAUGGAAAAUGCGAUCACACGCAUUCACAUCUCCGGGGUACUCCCUAUGCAGCUUCCAGUUACUCUUCAGGAAAAGGUUGACCGCUCUCUGCAUGUAAUGUGAAGCCAGAAGUGGUGUAAAGCAGGGGGAGAAUUUUACAUUGCACAGAACAGAUAGAGCUCAGAGUGGCAUUCCAAAGCCUCUCUGCUCAAUGUAUCCUGUGACUGUGGACGCCAUCCCACUCCAGGACAUUGCGCAGAAUUAUAAAUCAUCAACGGCAGGCUGAAGAAACAAACCAAGGACAAAUGGAUUUGUUCAGAGUGGGAUGUAUUCUGUCCAUGGAGAUUAAGGGACCUUGACAGAACUAGACAUAUUUGAAAA